This is a long non-coding RNA of Gallus gallus (chicken), 492 nucleotides long. Lineage: Eukaryota; Metazoa; Chordata; Aves; Galliformes; Phasianidae. The record is from Ensembl.
CUUCAGGUGGUACCAAACUAAACAAUUCUGCAACAUCUGCUAUAUUUGAUACAGGAGCACAUGAUUUUGGCUAGCAUAACAGCUCUGAAAGGGCUGAAUCUUUAAGGAAGUUAAUUGCUGUGGGGAAGAUCCUAUGCAAUCCCAUGUGUGGUUGCUUUCUCCAGAGUAGCAGAAAAGCUGCUAGGGAAACCUGUGUUCCUGUGUGAGGGGAAAGAAAGACAUCUCUCCUGGAAAGGGUGAAGAUCUCUUAAAGUUGGCAAGCAUUAUCUUGAAAAUAAAGGAGACCAGCACCAGGGAAGAAUCAGCUGGGGAGGGUAUAGAUGGAUUAGGUUCUGUCUUGGAUAUGAAGAGGACAAGCAGAUUCCAUAAAGCAGCGGGCAGGGCAGAAAUGGCUGGUGAGCAUGAGACUGCCAGCUGCUGUGCAAGUGCUUCAGGACACAGAGAACCUGCAGGAUCACCAUAUGGAGAACAGACAUAUGCUAUACAGCCUAG